RNAcentral lists this ribosomal RNA (468 nucleotides) under uncultured bacterium. RNAcentral's name for it is "partial 16S ribosomal RNA". It matches the Rfam family "Bacterial small subunit ribosomal RNA", at positions 28 to 507 of the family's 1533-position model. The record is from RNAcentral.
GACGAACGCUGGCGGCGUGCUUAACACAUGCAAGUCGAACGGAAAGGCCCUGCUUUUGUGGGGUGCUCGAGUGGCGAACGGGUGAGUAACACGUGAGUAACCUGCCCUUGACUUUGGGAUAACUUCAGGAAACUGGGGCUAAUACCGGAUAGGAGCUCCUGCUGCAUGGUGGGGGUUGGAAAGUUUGGGCGGUUGGGGAUGGACUCGCGGCUUAUCAGCUUGUUGGUGGGGUAGUGGCUUACCAAGGCUUUGACGGGUAGCCGGCCUGAGAGGGUGACCGGCCACAUUGGGACUGAGAUACGGCCCAGACUCCUACGGGAGGCAGCAGUGGGGAAUAUUGCACAAUGGGCGGAAGCCUGAUGCAGUAACGCCGCGUGCGGGAUGACGGCCUUCGGGUUGUAAACCGCUUUCGCCUGUGACGAAGCGUGAGUGACGGUAAUGGGUAAAGAAGCACCGGCUAACUACGUG